GCCGGGAGCAGUGGCGCAUGCCUGUAAUCCCAGCAACUCUGGAGGCUAAGGCAGGAGGAUGAUGGAGAGUUCAAAGCCAGCCUCAGCAACUUGGCAAGGCCCUAUGCUAAUCAGUGAGACCCUGUCUCUA
Molecule: small RNA, 130 nt
Filed under: Marmota monax (woodchuck)
Lineage: Eukaryota; Metazoa; Chordata; Mammalia; Rodentia; Sciuridae
Source: RNAcentral